AUUCAUCAAGAAGCUUCAAGAGCAAAAAUUCAUUGAAUCUUCCUCAAUUCUUCACCAAUUCACGAAAUUCUUCUUGCUUCAUCUUCCUUGGAUCAAGAACUUCAACUGUUUCAUCAAUUCAUUGCCUUAACCUUGCAAAUCCGCGACUGUUCAAGUGGUGAUCAACAAUGGCAAAUUGAAAUUUCUUCCAAUAGGAGCAACUUCGAGCCAAGCUAAGCAUUGCAAUUACCUUCCUGAAGCAUCUCCUUCAUCUGUUUUGGAUUGUUGCGCGCCAAGGCUCAAAGAAUUACCACUGUCUUCAAUUUAAG
Molecule: long non-coding RNA, 308 nt
Filed under: Lathyrus oleraceus (garden pea)
Lineage: Eukaryota; Viridiplantae; Streptophyta; Magnoliopsida; Fabales; Fabaceae
Description: Pisum sativum (pea) long non-coding RNA (PSAT_LNC039766)
Source: RNAcentral